RNAcentral lists this ribosomal RNA (447 nucleotides) under uncultured Rhodocyclales bacterium. RNAcentral's name for it is "partial 16S ribosomal RNA". It matches the Rfam family "Bacterial small subunit ribosomal RNA", at positions 393 to 832 of the family's 1533-position model. Lineage: Bacteria; Pseudomonadati; Pseudomonadota; Betaproteobacteria; Rhodocyclales. The record is from RNAcentral.
CAUGCCGCGUGAGUGAAGAAGGCCUUCGGGUUGUAAAGCUCUUUCAKCCGGGAAGAAAAUGCAUGURYUAAUACCCUGUKCKSAUGACGGUACCKGAAUAAAAAGCACCGGCUAACUACGUGCCAGCAGCCGCGGUAAUACGUAGGGUGCGAGCGUUAUUCGGAAUUACUGGGCGUAAAGCGUGCGCAGGCGGUUUUGUAAGACAGGYGUGAAAUCCCCGGGCUUAACCUGGGAACUGCGUUUGUGACUGCMAGGCUAGAGUACGGGAGAGGGGGGUGGAAUUCCCCGUGUAGCAGUGAAAUGCGUAGAGAUGUGGAGGAACACCAAUGGCGAAGGCAGCCCCCUGGGUCUAUACUGACGCUCAUGCACGAAAGCGUGGGUAGCAAACAGGAUUAGAUACCCUGGUAGUCCACGCCCUAAACGAUGUCAACUAGGUGUUGGGAGGGU